ACCUACGACUAGGACACAUUGGAAAGCUCGGGAUCCCGUCCGCUCCCCCCUAGAUAAACUAGUAAGGGCUAGAUUAGUAGUUGGGUCGGUGACGACUAGCGAAUCCCUGGUGUUGUAUGUU
Molecule: ribosomal RNA, 121 nt
Filed under: Madurella mycetomatis
Lineage: Eukaryota; Fungi; Ascomycota; Sordariomycetes; Sordariales
Source: RNAcentral